AGCAGCCGCGGUAAUUCCAGCUCCAAUAGCGUAUAUUAAAGUUGUUGCAGUUAAAAGCUCGUAGUUGAAUUUCGGGAUCAAAGAAUCGGUCAUGCCUUGGUAUGUACUGGUUUUAUUGGUUCUCACCUUCUAAAGAACCAUGAUGUCAUCCAUUUGAUGUUAUGGGGAAUUAGGACUGUUACCUUGAAAAAAUUAGAGUGUUUAAAGCAAGCUUACGCUUGAAUACAUUAGCAUGGAAUAAUGAAAUAGGACAUCAGAUCUAUUUUGUUGGUUUCUAGGAUCGAUGUAAUGAUUAAUAGGGAUAGUUGGGGGCAUUAGUAUUCAAUUGUCAGAGGUGAAAUUCUUGGAUUUAUUGAAGACUAACUACUGCGAAAGCAUUUGCCAAGGAUGUUUUCAUUAAUCAAGAACGAAAGUUAGGGGAUCGAAGACGAUCAGAUACCGUCGUAGUCUUAACCAUAAACUAUGCCGACUAGGGAUCGGAUGAUGUUAAUUUUUUAAUGACUCAUUCGGCGCCUUACGG
This 520-nucleotide ribosomal RNA is filed under the name uncultured Glomus. RNAcentral describes it as "SSU rRNA". It matches the Rfam family "Eukaryotic small subunit ribosomal RNA", at positions 569 to 1093 of the family's 1831-position model. Lineage: Eukaryota; Fungi; Glomeromycota; Glomeromycetes; Glomerales; Glomeraceae. The record is from RNAcentral.